Molecule: ribosomal RNA, 468 nt
Filed under: uncultured bacterium
Lineage: Bacteria
Description: partial 16S ribosomal RNA
Rfam family: Bacterial small subunit ribosomal RNA
Source: RNAcentral
GACGAACGCUGGCGGCGUGCUUAGCACAUGCAAGUCGAACGGAAAGGCCCUGCUUUUGUGGGGUGCUCGAGUGGCGAAGGGGGGAGUAACACGUGAGUAACCUGCCCUUGACUUUGGGAUAACUUCAGGAAACUGGGGCUAAAACCGGAUAGGAGCUCCUGCUGCAGGGGGGGGGUUGGAAAGUUUCGGCGGUGGGGGAUGGACUCGCGGCUUAUCAGCUUGUUGGUGGGGUAGUGGCUUACCAAGGCUUUGACGGGUAGCCGGCCUGAGAGGGUGACCGGCCACAUUGGGACUGAGAUACGGCCCAGACUCCUACGGGAGGCAGCAGUGGGGAAUAUUGCACAAUGGGCGGAAGCCUGAUGCAGCAACGCCGCGUGCGGGAUGACGGCCUUCGGGUUGUAAACCGCUUUCGCCUGUGACGAAGCGUGAGUGACGGUAAUGGGUAAAGAAGCACCGGCUAACUACGUG